GACGAACGCUGGCGGCGGGCUUAACACAUGCAAGUCGAACGCUGAAGCUUGGUGCUUGCACUGGGUGGAUGAGUGGCUAACGGGUGAGUAAUACGUGAGUAACCUGCCCUUGACUCUGGGAUAAGCCUGGGAAACUGGGUCUAAUACUGGAUAUGACAUGCCACUGCAUGGUGGUGUGUGGAAAGGGUUUUACUGGUUUUGGAUGGGCUCACGGCCUAUCAGCUUGUUGGUGGGGUAAUGGCCUACCAAGGCGACGACGGGUAGCCGGCCUGAGAGGGUGACCGGCCACACUGGGACUGAGACACGGCCCAGACUCCUACGGGAGGCAGCAGUGGGGAAUAUUGCACAAUGGGCGGAAGCCUGAUGCAGCGACGCCGCGUGAGGGAUGACGGCCUUCGGGUUGUAAACCUCUUUCAGCACGGAAGAAGCGAGAGUGACGGUACGUGCAGAAGAAGCGCCGGCUAACUACGUG
Molecule: ribosomal RNA, 472 nt
Filed under: uncultured bacterium
Lineage: Bacteria
Description: partial 16S ribosomal RNA
Rfam family: Bacterial small subunit ribosomal RNA
Source: RNAcentral